UACGUAGGGUGCGAGCGUUAAUCGGAAUUACUGGGCGUAAAGCGUGCGCAGGCGGUUCGCCAAGUCAGGUGUGAAAUCCCCGGGCUUAACCUGGGAAUUGCGCUUGAAACUAGCGGGCUUGAGUGUGGCAGAGGGGGGUGGAAUUCCACGUGUAGCAGUGAAAUGCGUAGAGAUGCGGAGGAACACCGAUGGCGAAGGCAGCCCCCUGGGCCAACACUGACGCUCAGGCACGAAAGCGUGGGGAGCAAACAGG
This 253-nucleotide ribosomal RNA is filed under the name uncultured bacterium. Its description in RNAcentral is "partial 16S ribosomal RNA". It matches the Rfam family "Bacterial small subunit ribosomal RNA", at positions 524 to 776 of the family's 1533-position model. The record is from RNAcentral.